Molecule: transfer RNA, 75 nt
Filed under: Cressida cressida
Lineage: Eukaryota; Metazoa; Arthropoda; Insecta; Lepidoptera; Papilionidae
Description: tRNA-Leu
Source: RNAcentral
ACUAUUUUGACAGAAAAAAUGUGAUGAUUUUAGAAGUCAUAAAUAUAUAAUUAAUAAAAAUUUAUAUAUAUAGUA